GAUGAAUUAUGUUUGGAUAGGCUCAAAUUAAUCAAUAUGAGUAUACUCCCUGUGGACUCAGGAGCAGCCCAUGUUGCAUUUCAAAGCAAUGAAAUAUGUAUUUCCUCUAAUGGGAUACUGACAAAUGUUUUUAAAACUCUUAGAGUGUUUCUCAUGUGCAGCCAUCUUUUGUGGUGACAUGGAGCACCUGUGCAGACCCUCAGUAGAAUCUGCACCUGGGCCCCAGGCGCGCCAGGAUGGGGCUCAGGGGUUGGUGGGUCCGGCGGCUGUAAAGGAACAGGGUGGAGGUCCCAGGUUGAAAAAUUGUAAAAUUAUAAUUUUACAGCUUAUAUAAUUUAACUACUUCAGUCAUCAUGUCUUUUUCUUUUUACAAAGUCAAUUUUCCUACAUAACUCCAAAUUUUUUUCACACCAUCUAAGUAAUAUUUUAAUAUUUUCCAUAUCCAAUCCGUAUUCAAAUUUCCCCAAUUACCUCCAAAUGACUUAUGAAAAAAAAUGCUAUUUUAAUCGGGAGCCAAUAGCGGAUUACCCUUUGCAUUUGACAGCAGAGUUCAGGCUUAACCCUUAACCUCUUCAGGCUCGGAGGACCCUGGGCAGGAGAGAUUUAAGAACACCGUCCUCCCGCUUUCGCGAAAGGCCAAGAGUGACUUGAAAUGUAGACGCGGAGGCCUAUGGGAAAUGUAGUUUUAAAUAGGUGAGGUUCACCGCCUGGACUCUGGGAAGGGGACGCCACGCUCCUUCUGCGCAUGUGCAGCCGUAGCCUCCUCGUUCGUCUUCUCAGGACUCCAGAGAACCGUUGGGGAACUUUGGGGUGUGCUCGGAAAAUGCAGGAGCUUCAGAGCAGAGACAAGAGCCCAGAAAGGAGCAGAUGCUAGAUUUGCAAGAUCAGAAGCAGGUCUUGAUCCUCCUGCCCAGAAUGAACCAGACUUGAUGAUGAUGCCACCUUCAGGAGCCACCACACUGUGUGACAGUGGGGCAUUUGGGCCGUCCCUGGGAAGUACAGAUGCGCUGCUGUCACACAUGUCCACCACCACAUGUGACAUUAGUGACGUUAUCCUGAUGUCACAGGAUCCAAGAAUGAUGAUCUGUGAAGAGUUUUCCGAGGUCACCUACUUCUAACUCUUUUGAAAGAUUUAAAGACAUUGGGCCUGAAAAUUUCAGUGACUUGUCCAGGGAAACGCAGUUUGUGACAGUUCACUCUCUCACAGCUGAACCACAGUCCUCUGUACUCGCCCAGGAGCCACAGAAGUGAACAUCCCUCAGAUUCCACCUGCCACCACUGGAGGAGGUUCAGGAGCUGUGUAUUCUGAGCCUGCUGUGAUCCCUGGUGUCUGUGCUUGUCCUUUGGAAUCUAUGCUGAGAGGACCCAUCUGCGAUUGCCUGCUUGUAGCUGCUGCUUUGCUAAUGGAGGAGAGUCUAAGGGAAGAGCUCACUCCGCCGUGAUGCUGAUGUCAUGCCUGGUCAUUCUAUUUUUAAGUUUUUGAGGAAUCUCUGUACUGUUUUCCACAGUGGCUGCACCAAUUUACAUUCCCACCAGCAGUGUAUGAGGGCUCCCUUUUCUCCACAUCCUCUCCAACACUUCUGUUUUCUUUGUAAAGAUUGGCACCUGAGCUAACAUCUGUUGUCUAUCUUUUUUUCCUUCUUGUUCUCCCAAAACCCUCCCA
Long non-coding RNA from Equus caballus (horse), 1663 nucleotides. Lineage: Eukaryota; Metazoa; Chordata; Mammalia; Perissodactyla; Equidae. The record is from Ensembl.